This 466-nucleotide ribosomal RNA is filed under the name uncultured bacterium. RNAcentral's name for it is "bacterial SSU rRNA". It matches the Rfam family "Bacterial small subunit ribosomal RNA", at positions 330 to 793 of the family's 1533-position model. The record is from RNAcentral.
UCCAGACUCCUACGGGAGGCAGCAGUGAGGAAUAUUGGUCAAUGGUCGGGAGACUGAACCAGCCAAGCCGCGUGAGGGAGUACUGCCCUAUGGGUUGUAAACCUCUUUUGUCGGGGAGCAAAAGCCGGACGUGUCCGGCUGUGAGAGUACCCGAAGAAAAAGCAUCGGCUAACUCCGUGCCAGCAGCCGCGGUAAUACGGAGGAUGCGAGCGUUAUCCGGAUUUAUUGGGUUUAAAGGGUGCGCAGGCGGAUUUUUAAGUCAGCGGUCAAAUCGUGGGGCUCAACCCCAUCCAGCCGUUGAAACUGCAUCCCUUGAGUGCGCGAGAAGUAUGCGGAAUGCGUGGUGUAGCGGUGAAAUGCAUAGAUAUCACGCAGAACUCCGAUUGCGAAGGCAGCAUACCGGCGCGCAACUGACGCUCAUGCACGGAAGCGUGGGUAUCGAACAGGAUUAGAUACCCCGGUAACG